UGAUAAUCUAUUCUAAGAAUAUAAAUUGUAAAUUUAUAAAUGGUUUUUCCUCAAUCAU
RNAcentral lists this transfer RNA (58 nucleotides) under Liposcelis paeta. Its description in RNAcentral is "tRNA-Tyr". The record is from RNAcentral. Lineage: Eukaryota; Metazoa; Arthropoda; Insecta; Psocodea; Liposcelididae.